Molecule: long non-coding RNA, 309 nt
Filed under: Homo sapiens (human)
Lineage: Eukaryota; Metazoa; Chordata; Mammalia; Primates; Hominidae
Description: long non-coding RNA NONHSAT074360.2
Source: RNAcentral
AAGAUCUGGCACCACACCUUCUACAACGAGCUGCGUGUGGCCCCCGAGGAGCACCCCAUCCUGCUGACCGAGGCCCCCCUGAACCCCAAGGCCAACCGCGAGAAGAUGACCCAGAUCAUGUUUGAGACCUUCAACACCCCAGCCAUGUACGUGGCCAUCCAGGCCAUGCUGUCCCUGUACACCUCUGGCCGUACUACUGGCAUCGUGAUGGACUCUGGUGACGGGGUCACCCACACUGUGCCCAUCUAUGAUGGGAAUGCCCUCCCCCAUGCCACCCUGCGCCUAGACCUGGCUGGGCGGGAACUGACU